UACGUAGGCAGCAAGCGUUGUUCGGAGUUACUGGGCGUAAAGGGUGUGUAGGCGGUUCUUUAAGUUUGCUGUGAAAUCUCCCGGCUUAACCGGGAGGGUGCGGUGAAUACCGAGGGACUAGAGUACGGGAGAGGAAAGUGGAAUUCCUGGUGUAGCGGUGAAAUGCGCAGAUAUCAGGAGGAACACCAAUUGCGAAGGCAGCUCGCUGGGACGUUACUGACGCUGAGACGCGAAAGCGUGGGGAGCAAACAGG
Molecule: ribosomal RNA, 253 nt
Filed under: uncultured bacterium
Lineage: Bacteria
Description: partial 16S ribosomal RNA
Rfam family: Bacterial small subunit ribosomal RNA
Source: RNAcentral